Molecule: long non-coding RNA, 464 nt
Organism: Chelonus insularis
Lineage: Eukaryota; Metazoa; Arthropoda; Insecta; Hymenoptera; Braconidae
Exons: 3
Source: RefSeq, a predicted model, not a curated record
AGCGACGACGAAGUUACCUGUUUAUUAAAUGUAAUAUCCGAAUUAAAAAUUGUUGAAAUGUUAGACAGCAAAAAAUAUCGCUCGAGUGAUGUUUUCAAAACAGUAGCAGAAGCUCUGGAAAACAUCGGCUAUAAUAGAAAUUUCGACCAAGUACGAAAUAAAUACAAGUCUCAAACAAAGAAGAGUAUUUCAUUGUAAAACGACAACUUAACACCAGCGGAGCAUAUCCUGAUGUUAAAAAGCAGUUGAAAAACUUCGAAAAAUUAGAUGAAAUCUUUGGGUCAGAGGGAAUCGAUUCAUUAAAUGCAGAAUAUACGAAACCUAUAAACUCAACCAAGCGUACAGAGACACCAUCAACUAUAAGCGAUAGUUUUGAUGCAAAUAACAGUAACUCUCCGAAAGGUAUCUUAGCCAAUAACUGUUUUCAUCGAGGGCGCAAUGGUCUCCCCAACAAGAACAACAAC